AUUGAACGCUGGCGGCAGGCUUAACACAUGCAAGUCGAGCGGAGAUGAGGUGCUUGCACCUUAUCUUAGCGGCGGACGGGUGAGUAAUGCUUAGGAAUCUGCCUAUUAGUGGGGGACAACAUUCCGAAAGGAAUGCUAAUACCGCAUACGUCCUACGGGAGAAAGCAGGGGAUCUUCGGACCUUGCGCUAAUAGAUGAGCCUAAGUCGGAUUAGCUAGUUGGUGGGGUAAAGGCCUACCAAGGCGACGAUCUGUAGCGGGUCUGAGGGGAUGAUCCGCCACAAUGGGACUGAGGCACGGCCCAGACUCCUACGGGAGGCAGCAGUGGGGAAUAUUGGACAAUGGGGGGAACCCUGAUCUAGCCAUGCCGCGUGUGUGAAGAAGGCCUUAUGGUUGUAAAGCACUUUAAGCGAGGAGGAGGCUACUGAGACUAAUACUCUUGGAUAGUGGACGUUACUCGCAGAAUAAGCACCGGCUAACUCUGUGCCAGCCGCCGCCGUAA
This 501-nucleotide ribosomal RNA is filed under the name uncultured bacterium. RNAcentral describes it as "partial 16S ribosomal RNA". It matches the Rfam family "Bacterial small subunit ribosomal RNA", at positions 30 to 523 of the family's 1533-position model. The record is from RNAcentral.